AUUGCAGGGAAACUGAUGGUUUGAAGUUUUUGAAAGUGUUUCAGGUCUAGUUUUUAUAAGCACAUUAUGAGAGUUGCAGAUUGUCUGGGGUUGCUUUGUCGGAGGCUGCUGGGAACAGUUGGGCCCAGAGUAUUUGCUCAGCUUUCCCGUUACAUUAACACACUGAUUAAUCUAUGUAUUAAGAUUCCUUGCAUUGUCAAUGGAUUUGCAAGAGGAUAUGAAAGACACUAAAACUACUUAUCUUUUGAAACUAUAAUAUGUGACUCCUUGAAACUCAAAUCUGUAGAAAGUUUCUAAUUCCACUGGUAUCUGUAAAACCUCUUGAAGAGAGAGACCAGGAGAGUACAUUCUCAGAUACUGAUACUUACUGUUGUCUUCCUUGCUUCACGCAAGGUUGAGUUUCUUUCACAGUAUCAUAUCUUACAAAGUCAGUUCUUCUAAAUGUCCAGUGCCUGUUCCUAGAUCUGCUUCUUGGGGACACACUCAUAACUCUCUUAUCCAGCUAACAAGCUAACUUGUGGAUAGUGUUUACAAAAGUACAGAAGUACUACUUCCAAGGAAAAUGCUCUGCUUCUCAAGGCAUUUGUGAAGACGUCCAGAACAUUUCCCAAAGUGUGACCUUUUCUGGUAUAUUUGUACCAGGUCAGGGUUUUUUGUGUUGUUUUCAAAUAAGUUUGACUAAAGUUUGGCUGACAGUUUUUGUAUACUUGCUUUAAUGUUUAUAAAAUUUUUAUUGAGGAAUAAUUAAGAUAUAGUGUAAUGCACAGAGGCUUAAGUAUUCUUACCUGCUUUAAUUUUGAAACAGAUUUUUAUUGUCAGAAAUUUGAAAGCAUGUGUUUAACACAUGGAUAUAAUUUAGCUUUGUAUGAAUUUUAAAUCCAAGGCAAUUUCCCAAGCAUAAAAGUUGGAGCCAUUUUUCAGAACUUGCUUAUACCACAUUACCAAAUAAUCAGCCUUGAUUCAUUUCUAGACGAAGAGAAUUUUGAAGUAGAAGAUAAAACAAGUCUGCUUCCCAUUUAAGAAAAGGAGAAAGUAACAGUUUGUAAGAAUAUGAGGCAGACUGUAAUUCUCAGCUCCCUUUUCUUCUUAGCCUUAAAAUAAUAUUCUCUUUCUUCUAGUUUGGGAACAUAUAGAGAGAAUUUUCAAACAAGAGGCCAUUUUCAAUUUUUGAAGUUUCAUGCUGAUGAAAGAAGCAAGCUGCAGUAGGUGCCAGUGAGAGGGCUGUAGCCCUCUAGCCAAUGCUAUGGACCUAGAAAACUCUGCAGUUUGCCUCUCCCUCACUUUCAUUCUUAGAGCCUCAUUAAAGGCUUCUUUGGGAGGUUGUUUUCUCCUGUUUUGAAAACUUGUGUAUUUUGCCUCUCCUUUGGCUGCAUCUUCAAAAGAUUCCUUUUGUGCCUAUGAACAUGUGUGAACAUACCAUACCAUGAAUAGUAGGUGUACUGUAUUUUGUUUUAGUUGAAAAAUGAGGAAGAGAAUUUCCUUUCUUCAUACCCUCAGCUUCUGUACUUAUUUGAAUACUUAUAGGGUACAUACAAAUUUGACACUUUUGUGGUAAUGAAAAUAUAUUGGAGCUGAGUUGUAGAUUCCUUAAAGGCCAGCAGGUUGCCAGUGUCCUUUCAUGCUUUUGAAUUCUGAGGGAGGUGAGCAAACAUGGAAACAGUGCUUUAGCCAAAUUCCAUAUGUAAUACCAUUGGGAGAGUAUUGCCUGAAAUAUUCAAGUCAGGGAGAUAAAAUGGUAAUUUUUUUUACAGAAUUUUCCUGGGUAAACAAAUGAGCCAGCCUUCCGCUAUAUACAUUCCAAUUGCCCCAAGCAUCUGCUACAUUUUGUUCUUUGAAGUAUUACCUCUUAACCUUUGUUAAUGGUUUUUGUCUUGUCUUAUACAAGUUUUGAAGAUGAACUCAAUCUUUUCUCAAAUGUCACCUUUUUAUCAAUACUUUUACAUUAAAUUAUAAAAACUGUU
This 1961-nucleotide long non-coding RNA is filed under the name Rattus norvegicus (Norway rat). Its description in RNAcentral is "long non-coding RNA NONRATT030843". Lineage: Eukaryota; Metazoa; Chordata; Mammalia; Rodentia; Muridae. The record is from RNAcentral.